RNAcentral lists this ribosomal RNA (253 nucleotides) under uncultured bacterium. RNAcentral describes it as "partial 16S ribosomal RNA". It matches the Rfam family "Bacterial small subunit ribosomal RNA", at positions 524 to 776 of the family's 1533-position model. The record is from RNAcentral.
UACGUAGGGCGCAAGCGUUGUCCGGAAUUAUUGGGCGUAAAGAGCUCGUAGGCGGCCAGUUGCGUCUGCUGUGAAAUCCCGGGGCUCAACCCCGGGCGUGCAGUGGAUACGGGCUGGCUGGAGGCAGGCAGGGGAGAACGGAAUUCCCGGUGUAGCGGUGAAAUGCGCAGAUAUCAGGAGGAACACCGGUGGCGAAGGCGGGUCUCUGGGCAGUAACUGACGCUGAGGAGCGAAAGCGUGGGGAGCGAACAGG